Pelobates cultripes (western spadefoot toad) is the source of this 328-nucleotide non-coding RNA. NCBI's taxonomy places the organism in Eukaryota, Metazoa, Chordata, Amphibia, Anura, Pelobatidae. The record is from the annotation of a GenBank genome assembly.
CAGAUGAACCGCACAAAUUCCCUUACACUGAAAUUUGGCUCAGUGUAUGCUCUUUACAAUUUCCAGUUUAUUGAAUACAAUCUAAAUUGGUGGCAGUAAUUGUCUCAGUGCUGACUGCUUAGGACUACAAAUCCCAGAAUCCUUAGCCAGUGUGUCGGCAAACUAAUGGUAAAAUUUUCAAUGGAACGUUACAUACCAUAAUGCCAGAGACCCAAAGCAAUGUUUAUCAGGACUGCAAUUCCCACAAUACUUUGCUCCCCAUACAGGAAGAUGUUAUCCAUAUCUUAUAGUUGGGUAGAACAGAAAAGCUUAGAGUUGGCAAGAAAAC